GCCGGGGAGAGGGCCGGGAGGGGGCGUGCAGUUUGGCCCUAGGGUCCGGAGCUGAAACUCAACACCCGCCUUUGGAGAGAGCGUCCUCUUUUCUCCUCCUCCCCUUCCCUUCUCCUCCCUUUUCCCCUCCCUCCUUUCUCUUAAUCCCCAGGACUGAGCCCGGCGCCGGAGCGGAGAAGGCCCGAGGGGAGGAGAAAGGAACUUUCGUGAGAGGGAACCGGGAGCCGGGAAGGGGAGGGAAGGGAAGCCGCGAGCGGGGUGAGCCCCAAAGCCACGCGCGACCCCCGGAGCCUUCUUAGCCUCUCAGUGCACCACCACCUCCAGGCGGCGAGUCCACAGGACCCAGGCCCCAGCUCCUCCGCGUCCUCUUUGCUCCUUUUGCUUUGUGGCCUUUCUCUCCGUUCCCAGAGACACCUGGGAGCUGCCCCGAGCUCUGCUAAGGGUGCGUGUGAGCGGGGCGGCGAGGUCGGAGACCAGCGGGCCAGGGAGGGAGCGGGAGCUAGUAACCCUGCGCGCUGGGGCCGAGUGGAGGGGGCGGGUGGGCCGCUCCGCGGCGUCAGCAAGGCCGUCCCGCCCCUUCGAACCGGGCCCGCGUGCGCGUUGUGAGACACCGUCGCGGUAACCCCUGCCUCCUGGGCGUGCUGCGAGCCAGUAUGCCUGACUGUGAGUCCGCUUCACCGUCGGGGGUGCUAGUUUCUGGGCAGAAAGCAGCCACUUGGGCAACUCGGCCCAACGGCCACGCUCUCGGUGGCCUUUGGCGCCUGGCCUCCAUUUGCCAACUUGGGCGAGUUUGACGAGAGUCGAACGUCUCAGUUCUCGCUCUCACGCACCACCCUCCCUCGCAGCAGGGCAGCCGCAGUGCCUCAGGCCGCCCCGACCACAGCCCUGGGAGCACCGCUGUCCCGCGCGGCCCCCGGGUGGGGCGGGUUGGCGCCUAAACUCGCCCAUCCAGCUCAACCGCCCCGGCGGCUUCUCCCAGCCCUCGGGGCUGUCCUGAGAGGCCUGGAGUGGCGUCGAGUACAACUCCAGCUCCCACCUCCUCUCCUGCCCCGGCCCUGGAAGGGAGCUUUCGGCCCAUGCGGAGCCGGUGUACCUUCGCGGCCUAGGGCAGGCAGCUCCCGGGCCUGGCCAAGCCGGCGGCCCCCGGGACUGCACAGAGCGCACGCCCUUGGAUGAAGUCCCGCAGCGAAGCCUCGGCCCGCCUUGCCCCUCCUCCUGCCCCGCCAAGCUGCCUCCCAUUUGGGGAAUUUUGUGGGUUUUCUUUCUCCUCCUCCAACCUACGCGGAGACCACGACUCAGGCCCCGCAGCUGGGGCCGCCCCCAUGGUGCCGGGCAGCCGCUGCUGAGGUCCACAAAGCCGAGCCUGGCCUGGAUUGGGCAGCGCGGGAGGCCAAGGCCAUGGCCUUAGCCACGUCGGCCCAGCUGGCCCGGGCACUCUACGACAACACGGCUGAGUCCCCCCAGGAGCUGUCCUUCCGCCGAGGGGACAUUCUACGGAUACUGCAGAGGGAGGGCGCUGGUGGGCUGGAUGGCUGGUGCCUCUGCUCCCUGCAUGGCCAGCAGGGCAUUGUGCCCGCCAACAGAGUGAAGCUCCUUCCUCCUGGCCCAGCACCCAAUCCCAGCCUCUCCCAGGUGCCCCCAGCCCAGCCUGGCUCAUCAUAUCCAGUCCCAGAGUACAGCAGUGAGGAUCAGGAGGUGUACGUGGUGCCGCCCCGAGCUCGGCCGUGUCCUGCCUUAGGACCAACAGCUGGACCCUGCCCACCCUCCCCAGACGCCAUCUACAAGGUUCCCAGAGGCAGUGGGACUCAGCUGCCUGCCCCUGGAGAUGCCUUGGAGGUCUAUGACGUGCCCUCCACUGCCCUCCGAGUUCCCUCCAGUGAUCCUUAUGACUCCCCUGCCUCCCUUUCCCGCCCUCUGGACCGGGUUACCUCACAGCCCGCUGGAGAGGAGGAAGCUCCCUAUAACGUGCCUCUGGCCCCACGAUCACCAUCAGACCUGGAGCCAGAUCUGGAGUGGGAAGAGGGCCGGGAAGCAGGGCCGCCCCUUUACGCUGCCCCCUCCAACCUGAAACGGGCGUCAGCCCUGCUCAAUCUGUAUGAAGCACCUGAGGAGCUGCUAGCAGAUGAGGAAGGUGGGGGCACUGACGAGGGCAUCUAUGAUGUGCCCCUGCUGGGGCCAGAAGCACCCCCUUCUCCAGACCCCCCAGGAGCUUUGGCCUGCAGUGACCUGGACACCUUGGCCUUGCUUCUGGCCAGAAGCCCCCCAGCCCCACACAGGCCCCGGUUGCCCUCAGCCGAGAGCCUAUCCCGACGCCCUCUGCCUGCCCUACCUGUCCCCGAGGGCCCCAGCCUUUCCCCAGCUCCCUCUCCUGCUCCAGGCCGGAAAGGCAGCAUCCAGGAUCGGCCUCUGCCCCCACCCCCGCCCUGUCUGCCUGGCUACAGAGGCCCCAAGGUGGAGGGGGAUACAGAGGGUGGGGAGGUGGAGGAUGAUCCAGCUGGACACCACAAUGAGUAUGAGGGCAUUCCCGUGGCCGAGGAGUAUGACUACGUCCACCUGAAGGGCAUGGACAGAGCUCAGGGAUCUAGGCCACUGGAUAAGGCCUUCCCAGGGAACCCUGAACAGCCGGAGAAAGGGCCGCAGGAGCAGCAGGAGGCCCUGUCCCCAGGGGAGCUGCCCGCUGUGUCUGCUGGAGAUCUGCAGCUCCUGCACUUCUACGCAGGGCAGUGUCAGAGCCACUACUCAGCCCUGCAGGGGCAGGUGCCAGGCCCUCUGGGGCAGGAAGGAACUGGACUCUCCUCCCUCAACCUGGGCUGGAGGUUCUUCGUUGCUGCACCACCAGCCACCUCUGGAAGCUUGGCCCCAGAGAAUUAGGUGGCUGAAACAAGGGGCCACCCAGAGCCCCUUUCUUGUGCUUUUCUUGGCUCUAGAAUAUCAGCACCUUACUGGUGGCCAAGAGUGAGGACAGGAUAUUGGCCAUCCAGAAUGUGAAGGUCUGGAAGAGGCCAGAGGGCUCCUCUCUGCAGGAGGCAGGAGAGAGGCUUCCUGCUGACCGUUCUGGACACACCGUCUUUUAGAGGAGCUGAGGGGCAGAUGAAGGCCAUGUGUUAGAAGUCUACAGUCCUCAGGGCCUAGGUGGGAGAUCACUCCAGCUAUUUACCACAAGGGAAGAAGUCCAAGCCACAGAUCCAUUUCUUCAGGUCUGCUUCUCCAAGAUGAUGCUCUGGCACAGUGACUGACUGGAAGCACCCCAGACUUCAGUCAGAGUCUUAGUCUCUUGGUGCCCACUAUGCAUAUGCCUCCUCUAUUUGGGGUUCCUUCAUUAUCCUUUCACUAAGAGAAAACUCAUUUCCAGAUUCUGGGGCCACCAAAAUUCACCCCUACAUGUUGAAGACUUAAAAUGGACCAUUCUCCAUCAUCCUCCAGGAAGAAUUUCAAGAGGUCAACCUGUAGAGUCAGAGGUCUCAGUGCAAGUCCCAGAUCUGCCAUAUACCUGUCUGUCUGUGGGUAAAUCCUGCCAGUCCGUCUGAGUCCCAGUGUCAUCUGUAUUUUGAGGACGAUCAUAAUGGUCAUGUUGUGAGGCCCCAACAAGACAGUCAUGUGAACAAUCCAGCACCACAUCAAGUUAAGGGAUUUUAAUUCCAGGACAGACACAAGGAUACAGACAAAAAUCCCCGAGAAAUGUUGGCUGUGGCAGUACCAAAGUAAAUCCUGAAGAAAUGCUGAAAUGGGGGAGGCUGUUAAAUGGACUGGAGAGUUUCCCAUGUUUGGAAAAUUUCUGAACAGAGAAUGGAUUUCCAGUCUGAGGCUCACAGGAUACUCCUUUCUAUUCCUUACCUGAAAUUAGAGAAUAAAGUACCUGUUAGGCAUCAACUCUAAAGAA
Manis pentadactyla (Chinese pangolin) is the source of this 3880-nucleotide RNA transcript. It is a transcript of the gene named embryonal Fyn-associated substrate, with no coding region annotated. The record is from RefSeq and is a predicted model, not a curated record. NCBI's taxonomy places the organism in Eukaryota, Metazoa, Chordata, Mammalia, Pholidota, Manidae. The transcript is spliced from 8 exons.